AGAAUCCAACAUCAAUUUCCAAUGUAUCCUUAUGACCACCACCCAGCGAGGUAGAUUAUGUUAAGAGAGACCGCGAGUCUGGCUCAGGAUCAUACAGUGCUGGAGAUGUAAGCAGCUGAGCCUGAAAGUGCCAUUUUAAAGAGUUUGUGAAGCACCUAAUAAUGGAGAAGAAUAUGUUUUUAUAUUGUAAUCUGAAGAAGUUGAAUAUACAAUAAUUCUUGCAUUA
Molecule: long non-coding RNA, 226 nt
Organism: Sphaerodactylus townsendi
Lineage: Eukaryota; Metazoa; Chordata; Lepidosauria; Squamata; Sphaerodactylidae
Exons: 2
Source: RefSeq, a predicted model, not a curated record